UGCUUAACAGCUAGCCCACCCAACCAACAACAACAACCCCCUAUCAAUACCCCCAAAUAAACAAGUAUCAACCAAACAAACCAUUUUUCCCCCUUAGUAUGGGCGACAGAAAAG
This 114-nucleotide ribosomal RNA is filed under the name Chelidonichthys spinosus (red gurnard). Its description in RNAcentral is "partial 16S rRNA". Lineage: Eukaryota; Metazoa; Chordata; Actinopteri; Perciformes; Triglidae. The record is from RNAcentral.